AUGGCAAGGUAUGAAUUAACGCUUUCUAAGAUAAAUCAGUAUUAUAAGAAAAGGAGUAAGAAUAAUUGGGUAUCUAAAGGUGAUCGUAAUACUAAAUUUUUUCAUCAGGCCAUUAUGCAGCGUAGGAUGAAAAAUACUAUCUGUUCAAUUAAGGAUGAACAUGACCUCAUUCACUGUAAUCCUACUGCCAUUAUGCAAACCUUUGUGAAUUACUUCCACUAUAUUUUUUCGUCCCCUGAUGAGAAUAUUCUUCCACCGUUUCCUCUUCAUCAGGGGUACAAUGAUAACAAUGACCCUACUUAUUCCAUUCCGGAUAAUGCUGAAAUCUUGCAGAUUCUUAAAGAUAUGAAGCUUAAUGCUUCUCCUGGUCCUGAUGGUUUCAAUGUUGAAUUUUAUUUAGCUACUUGGGAUUGGAUUGGGGAAGAGGUAACUCACCUUGUUACUAAUUUUUAUCAAACAACUACCCUUCCUUCUCAUAUUAAUGACACCAAUAUUUCUCUCAUUCCUAAGAAAUUGGCGCCCUUGGUUCCUACUGAUUACGGGCCUUUUAGCCUUUGUAAUGUGAUUUACACAAUCAUUGCCAAGUCUCUGGCUAAUAGACUUAAAUCUCACCUUCCUGGUUAUAUUGAUCCUGCUUAA
Molecule: ribosomal RNA, 639 nt
Filed under: Triticum aestivum (bread wheat)
Lineage: Eukaryota; Viridiplantae; Streptophyta; Magnoliopsida; Poales; Poaceae
Description: partial small subunit ribosomal RNA
Source: RNAcentral